AAAGAAGAUAAGGUUGGCCGCGUUGGCAGUGUGGUUAGCUGGUUGUUUAUGUCAUAACAACAGCCACUAGCGACACUGCCUCUGCGUGCAACCUAAAGCAUCG
RNAcentral lists this microRNA precursor (103 nucleotides) under Manduca sexta (tobacco hornworm). Its description in RNAcentral is "microRNA mse-mir-34 precursor". Its record names the gene mse-mir-34. The stretch from base 17 to 88 matches the Rfam family "mir-34 microRNA precursor family". Rfam says of the family: Human mir-34a was discovered computationally and later experimentally verified. The mature sequence is excised from the 5' arm of the hairpin. Lineage: Eukaryota; Metazoa; Arthropoda; Insecta; Lepidoptera; Sphingidae. The record is from miRBase by way of RNAcentral.